Long non-coding RNA from Rhinolophus ferrumequinum (greater horseshoe bat), 620 nucleotides. RefSeq lists it as uncharacterized. The record is from RefSeq and is a predicted model, not a curated record. The transcript has 2 exons. Lineage: Eukaryota; Metazoa; Chordata; Mammalia; Chiroptera; Rhinolophidae.
AACGACGCCAGGAUCCAAGAUGGCGUCCUGGGCCCUCUCAGACGUUUGUACGGCGUCUCCCUGCGUAGCCAGACCCUUGCGCAUGAAUCCUUCCCCUCUCCAUCCUGGCCACUGUGCCUAUCCAUGUCCCACCUGGGGGCUGGAGAGAAUCAGAAUCCGACAGAGACACCCUGGAAAGGAACAAGAGCUUGCCUGGGCUGGCCCUGACGUGUAUUCCUCAGGACAUCAAGUAUGUGUCAGGUCUUGGGGGACUGUGAGCCUUACAUGUUUUGACAGAGUGGCUGGGAUGCUCUCUGAGUUAUUCAGUUUCUAUAGCAGUACUCGGAACUUGCCCCAGGACAAAUGUGUCUGCUGAACAUAUUUUUGGGUUUUGCUCUCUGUUUUAUAUGAUUGUUUUAUAAAGGUUUUCUCGUGUAAGUGGAGCUUGUACCUGUACUAGGGGAAGUGGAUCCUGAGAACCUUUAAUGCAGUAAGAGGUGGAUGGGGGUAAGGAAUAUGACUGCAAAUGGACAUAGGGUUUCUUUCUGUGACUAUAUUAAAAACCACUGAACUGUAUAGUUUAAAUGGCUGAAUUAUAUUGUAUGUGAAUGUAUCUCAAUAAAGCUGUUAAAGUUUUUUUU